Arachis duranensis is the source of this 2509-nucleotide long non-coding RNA. RefSeq lists it as uncharacterized. The record is from RefSeq and is a predicted model, not a curated record. The transcript has 3 exons. Lineage: Eukaryota; Viridiplantae; Streptophyta; Magnoliopsida; Fabales; Fabaceae.
UCAUUGUGUUUCACCGAUAGAGAGAGAGAGGAGAAGAAAAGAAGAGAAAUCCUAAACCUAUGCAAACUUCCACCGUCCAUAACUUUUGAUUUUGAACUUCGAUUAACGGGCUGUUUGCAGCCAUGUAAUCUUUUCAUUAAGCUUUUCGAUUCUAAUCCAACAAAGUGAUUAUUAGUGAAUUUUAUCCCAAUUUUGAGUGAGUAAGAUUGUGUGCAUAUGAAAUUGAAGUUAAAUGGAAGGUGUUAAAUGCUUGAUUUGAAGCAAUUGUGGCUGAACUAGAUGAAUUGGAGUUUGGAACAUUUGGAAGCUUGUGCGGAGAAGAGGGUUUUGAGGUAUUUUGGUUUAGAAAGAAAUUGGUCAAAGUAUGAUUUUAGUUUCUCGAAGUUAAUGUAUAAUAUUACAUAAAAAUUUAGGUUAGUAGAUUUUAAGAUAUUGUUGAAUUGAUAUGGUUGAUGAUGGCUUAGCUUGAUAUGUGAUUUUGGUAUGUAUUAUGUGUGUUGACAUGAGUAUUGAAAUUGGAGUUUGUAUGUUGAUUUAGAUUUAAAGUAUGUGAAUUGAGAUGUUUUGGUAGUGACUAAUGUCGUUGUUGAAUUUGGAAUAUUGGCAUGACUUGUGUAUGUCAGUAUACUUUUAUAAAAGUUUGAAUUGGUAUAAAGAAUGAGAUAUGAAUGAUGUAUGUGGAUACAUUCGUUGGAAUUUAAAUUUGGUAUGUGGAGAAAUGAUUUAUGAUGAGUUGAGAUUGAGGGUUAGAGAAUCAUAGUUUUAAAUCGAGUGAGGAUUUUAAAAUAAGGAUUGAUGUUGUUUUCAAAAGAAAAGAUUUGGGAAAAAUAUUGAUUUUGGGUGUUGUAGAAUUUUUAGGUAAAAAUGAAUUUUGACCAAUUUUGGCGGGACAUAAUUUAGCUUUCAUACUCUCAAAUUUUGUGAAACUUGUGUGAAUAAAAAUUGGGUCCAUAAAGUUUAUGAUGUUCAAAUAACGAAAUAAAAAUUAUUUUUAAUGAAAAAAUUAUGCGUAUUUGGAAUUUAGGUUGUAAAACUGAAUUCUGCAGCAAAUUUUUGAAAACUAGAAACUCUGGUAUGCGUGUGUACGCACACUAUCGUGCGCACGCAUAGACCAGAGCGUGUGGGAAGCUUGUGCAUACGCACGAGGGGGUGUGCGUACGCACACCUUGGGGAUUUUACAAAUUGUGCGUACGUACACCAAAGAAAGCUCGUCUGGUGCGUGCGUACGCACAGUACCAUGCGUACGCACGAUGCCCUAUUUUAUACUAAAACUUUUUAACUGCUCAACCUUCCCGGAAAGCUUGUAAACCACUGUUUUGUUAAAAAUUUGUGAUUUUUGAACUAUCAAUCAUUCUUCUAAGUUUUUCAAACUUCUGAAAACUCUGUUUAAGAUCCGAUAAUUAGAAUUAGGCUUAAGAAAGAGAGUGAACCUAUUGACAUAAUUAAAUUGACAUUGAAGAAGAGUUGUGAAAUGAAUAAUUUAAUUUAUGAUGCAUGGAUAAUGUUAAAUGAUUGAGAUAUUGAGAAUGACGAGAUUGAUUUUAAUAAUGACUUCAAGGAAUAGAAAUGAUAUUAAAAAUGAGAUUGAAUUUGAUUGUCAUAUGUCACUGGCUAAGAGGCAAUGGCGUGUCCACUUGCUUCCGGUAUAAUUGAAGAUUUCGGGUAAGAUGUAAUGGCGUUGUCCACUUGCUCCAGGUACACGGGUAAGAUGCGAGGGUUGCGAUUUGGUCCCACUUGCUCCAUAUUUGGUGUUUUUGUCCAGGAUUUGCUACUAGACAUGUCGGGUUUGGCUAUAUAACCGAUAGAUGAGACUCAUCGACCAUAGGACAGGCAUACAUCAUAUGCAUUUGUAUGAUUUGUUUGGGUAUGCAUUUGUCUUGGUUUGCCUAAUUGCUUAUUUGUAAUUAAUUGCUACUUGUCCUAUCUGUUGUAACUGCUAUCUAUAUCUGUGGUUUUUUGUCUAUUUUGUUUGUACUUGUAUCUAAGAGACCGCUCAUAUGGUGGAGGCGUGAUGAAAAUUGUUUCAUCGGUGAUUCGGAAGUUUGGAGAAGACAGAAGGUGCAAAGUUAGACUAGGGCUAGAAUUUCUGAGUAAGAUUACUUAUAUUAUUGGUUUAGAAUAAAUUUUAAGAUUAAUCUAAGUGUCGGAAUUUUAGAAAUGCCUUUACCUUUUUCGGGACCUUAUAUAUUAUCUAUGUUGGCACUUUCACCAUACUGAGAACUUCCGGUUCUCAUUCCAUAUAUAUAUAUAUUAUUGUUUUCAGAUGCAGGAUGCGAGGCACCUCACUAAAUAUUCUGGAGACUCUUUGGAACUAAAAACUCUUGUAGUCUCACUUUCUAAUAAAUAAUCAUUCUUUUAUUAUAUAUUAUUUUUAAAUUAUUUUCAAUCCCUAUGGUCUUCUCCGAAAAUGAAAAUAUCACCGUCAUAUAAGCCUUCUCUCUAAAUUUGUUUUCCUCUCCAGCCACACCUAUUCGUGCCAAUCAAAAUUUAAUUAUAAUUUUUAUUUUUU